RNAcentral lists this unclassified non-coding RNA (396 nucleotides) under Enchytraeus buchholzi. RNAcentral's name for it is "sequence contains ITS2". The stretch from base 4 to 124 matches the Rfam family "5.8S ribosomal RNA", at positions 33 to 154 of the family's 154-position model. Lineage: Eukaryota; Metazoa; Annelida; Clitellata; Enchytraeida; Enchytraeidae. The record is from RNAcentral.
GGGUCGAUGAAGAACGCAGCCAGCUGCGUGAAUUAAUGUGAAUUGCAGGACACAUUGAACAUCGAUAUCUUGAACGCAUAUUGCAGCCUCGGGCAUUCCCGAGGCUACGCCUGUCUCAGGGUCGGUUCAAAGUCAAUCGCAGUGCUGCUGUCGUCGCAAAUAGCGCACGGCCUGCGCAUUGGGCGUCGCAGUCGAACCUUACGGUCCGACUUCGUCGUCUGAAGAUCUACAGACGGGUUCCUCGUGCGACAAACGCGCGGGACGGUGACUCGAGUCCUCAUAAGACGAGCCUCCUCCUCCCGCGGCCCUCGAAGUGUUUGUCGCCGCCGAACGACUAUUACAAAUUCAGACUUCGACCUGAGAUCAGACGAGAUUACCCGCUGAAUUUAAGCAUAU